This 547-nucleotide long non-coding RNA is filed under the name Bos taurus (domestic cattle). RNAcentral's name for it is "long non-coding RNA NONBTAT020237". The record is from RNAcentral. Lineage: Eukaryota; Metazoa; Chordata; Mammalia; Artiodactyla; Bovidae.
UUUUAAGGGAUUCUAGAGCUUGCUUUAUAUAAGUGGGAAAAAUCAUCCUGUAUCUCUAUUAGGACAUCAAUGCAAAUUGUUCAUCUGUUUGAAAAAAGUAAUUUCACCAGCCACAUACCAGACACACUGUUAUCCGUUGAAUCUGGUGUAUUUGUAAUUUACAGACUGGGAACACAGGACAAAUCACCAUACCAUGCACACAACACAUUGUUUCCAACAUUUUAAUGUCCAAUUAGGAGUGCACGGAGUCCAGUUAAUUGAAGUAACUGGCUAUUAAAAUGGUUGCAAUUAAUAUGGUCACUUUCUAUCGGAGCUGCUGUUUUUCCUCUCAAAAACAUUAAGAGCCUCUUUCAAAAACAACAUGAUUCAUCUCCUUUGUCUUCACUGGAAAGGUAAAUAUCUGUCAAGAAUUUCUUCUUUCCUCAUAGCAAUAAUGUAAAUAUCCCAGAGUGGUCUUAAAAGAAGAGUUUAAGAAUGUGAAAAAGCCAGUUCAUUUCUUGAAAAAAGAAAUGAUUGCCUUUUUACCAGUUCAUCAUUAAUUUAACGC